Molecule: ribosomal RNA, 683 nt
Filed under: Faecalibacterium prausnitzii
Lineage: Bacteria; Bacillati; Bacillota; Clostridia; Eubacteriales; Oscillospiraceae
Description: bacterial SSU rRNA
Rfam family: Bacterial small subunit ribosomal RNA
Source: RNAcentral
AACCAUACUCAACAAGGAAGUGACGGCUAACUACGUGCCAGCAGCCGCGGUAAAACGUAGGUCACAAGCGUUGUCCGGAAUUACUGGGUGUAAAGGGAGCGCAGGCGGGAAGACAAGUUGGAAGUGAAAUCCAUGGGCUCAACCCAUGAACUGCUUUCAAAACUGUUUUUCUUGAGUAGUGCAGAGGUAGGCGGAAUUCCCGGUGUAGCGGUGGAAUGCGUAGAUAUCGGGAGGAACACCAGUGGCGAAGGCGGCCUACUGGGCACCAACUGACGCUGAGGCUCGAAAGUGUGGGUAGCAAACAGGAUUAGAUACCCUGGUAGUCCACACUGUAAACGAUGAUUACUAGGUGUUGGAGGAUUGACCCCUUCAGUGCCGCAGUUAACACAAUAAGUAAUCCACCUGGGGAGUACGACCGCAAGGUUGAAACUCAAAGGAAUUGACGGGGGCCCGCACAAGCAGUGGAGUAUGUGGUUUAAUUCGACGCAACGCGAAGAACCUUACCAAGUCUUGACAUCCUGCGACGGUGCUGGAAACAGUACUUUCCUUCGGGACGCAGAGACAGGUGGUGCAUGGUUGUCGUCAGCUCGUGUCGUGAGAUGUUGGGUUAAGUCCCGCAACGAGCGCAACCCUUAUGGUCAGUUACUACACWAGAGGACUCUGGCCAGACUGCCGUUGACAAA